Molecule: ribosomal RNA, 254 nt
Filed under: uncultured bacterium
Lineage: Bacteria
Description: partial 16S ribosomal RNA
Rfam family: Bacterial small subunit ribosomal RNA
Source: RNAcentral
GACGUAGGGCGCGAGCGUUGUCCGGAUUUAUUGGGCGUAAAGAGCUCGUAGGCGGCUCGUUGCGUCGGCUGUGAAAACCCGCAGCUCAACUGUGGGCUUGCAGCCGAUACGGGCGGGCUGGGAUUCGGUAGGGGAGACUGGAAUUCCUGGUGUAGCGGUGAAAUGCGCAGAUAUCGGGAGGAACACCAAUGGCGAAGGCAGCUCGCUGGGACGUGACUGACGCUGAGACGCGAAAGCGUGGGGAGCAAACAGGG